RNAcentral lists this ribosomal RNA (265 nucleotides) under uncultured bacterium. RNAcentral describes it as "partial 16S ribosomal RNA". It matches the Rfam family "Bacterial small subunit ribosomal RNA", at positions 99 to 354 of the family's 1533-position model. The record is from RNAcentral.
CGGACGGGUGGUAGUAACGACGUGGGUAACCGUACGCCUCGUACGUAGGGUAGGGUAACAGUUAGAAAUGACUGCUAACACCGCAUAAGCGCACGGUAAGGCAUCUUAGUGUGUGAAAAUAUUCAUAGGUACAGGAUGGGCCCGCGUCUGAUUAGCCAGUUGGCAGGGUAACGGCCUACCAAAGCGACGAUCAGUAGCCGGCUUGAGAGAGUGAACGGCCACAUUGGGACUGAGACACGGCCCAAACUCCUACGGAAGGCAGCAG